RNAcentral lists this transfer RNA (69 nucleotides) under Marmota monax (woodchuck). Its description in RNAcentral is "tRNA.Ile". Lineage: Eukaryota; Metazoa; Chordata; Mammalia; Rodentia; Sciuridae. The record is from RNAcentral.
GUUGUGUAGCUCAGUGGUACAGCACUUGCCUAUUGCAGGAGGCACUGGGUUCAAUUUUCAGCAUCCACA